AGGCCUCUGGAUAGGAGAUAUGACAUGCCCAAGGUCUCGCAGUUCAUGUGAGGCAGGAAACUUAAGAGACCCAGACUUCUCCUUUAAGGAAACUGUAAGGUGAUUCAUUUAGCAUUGCCACCUGGGGUAUCAUUGUCAUGGCAGACCCCAAAGGGAAGGCCUACCGCGAUGUUUGAAAGUACCACCAGUGAAUCUGUCUUCUGUCUCGGUCCCCGUGACACACAGAGCAGGCAUAGAAUUUAAUGGGUGUUCUGACAGACACUUGUACAUGGACAGACAUCACUACUGUGGAUACUACAAGACUGAAAAGAAAAUCAUAUGUUGUCAUUCUCUGGCUAUAGAGUGUUCGUGGCCUUCACAGAUUUCACAGGAACCAAUAAAUCCCUCAGAGAAGUAAACAGGUUCUUUGUCUUAUCUGGGUAAGGAAAGUAUAACUUAUAUUUAAAUAUAAUUGUUUAAUUAAGCAUUAUAUAUAAACAUAAUGAUAUGUCUUGUAUAAUUGCAUAUCAUAUUAUAUAUAUUAAACAAAUAUGUUUAGUU
This 540-nucleotide small RNA is filed under the name Pongo abelii (Sumatran orangutan). RNAcentral describes it as "processed transcript". Lineage: Eukaryota; Metazoa; Chordata; Mammalia; Primates; Hominidae. The record is from RNAcentral.